Molecule: long non-coding RNA, 239 nt
Organism: Drosophila albomicans
Lineage: Eukaryota; Metazoa; Arthropoda; Insecta; Diptera; Drosophilidae
Exons: 3
Source: RefSeq, a predicted model, not a curated record
UUUUUGUUGAUGAUAAAAUAGAAAAUCCGUUUUUACAACAGUUGAACGCAACUAGCUGAAGAUAAAGCAAGUCACUAAACAGCGUGAUUUUCUUUGCAGAAAAUGGUAAAAUUGAAUAUGAAGUAAGGGACUUGAUAUGUGAAUAGAAACAUUAAUGUAACAUUUCAAAGUUAACAAACUAAGUAAAACUUCGAAUAAAAAAAUAAAAUAUCCAGUAAAGUCAAGACAAAUAAUGAUGA